This 2763-nucleotide ribosomal RNA is filed under the name Acinetobacter baumannii 42057_3. RNAcentral's name for it is "bacterial LSU rRNA". It matches the Rfam family "Bacterial large subunit ribosomal RNA". Lineage: Bacteria; Pseudomonadati; Pseudomonadota; Gammaproteobacteria; Moraxellales; Moraxellaceae. The record is from RNAcentral.
AGUGCAUGUGGUGGAUGCCUUGGCAGUCAGAGGCGAUGAAAGACGUGAUAGCCUGCGAAAAGCUCCGGGGAGGCGGCAAAUAUCCUUUGAUCCGGAGAUGUCUGAAUGGGGGAACCCACCUACUUUAAGGUAGGUAUUGCAACAUGAAUACAUAGUGUUGCAAGGCGAACGAGGGGAAGUGAAACAUCUCAGUACCCUUAGGAAAAGAAAUCAAUUGAGAUUCCCUCAGUAGCGGCGAGCGAACGGGGAUCAGCCCAUUAAGUUAUGUGUGUUUUAGUGGAACGCUCUGGGAAGUGCGAACGUAGAGGGUGAUAUUCCCGUACACGAAAGGGCACACAUAAUGAUGACGAGUAGGGCGAGGCACGUGAAACCUUGUCUGAAUAUGGGGGGACCAUCCUCCAAGGCUAAAUACUCCUGACUGACCGAUAGUGAACCAGUACCGUGAGGGAAAGGCGAAAAGAACCCCUGUGAGGGGAGUGAAAUAGAUCCUGAAACCGCAUGCAUACAAGCAGUGGGAGCACCUUCGUGGUGUGACUGCGUACCUUUUGUAUAAUGGGUCAGCGACUUAUAUUCAGUAGCGAGGUUAACCGUAUAGGGGAGCCGUAGAGAAAUCGAGUCUUAAUAGGGCGUUUAGUUGCUGGGUAUAGACCCGAAACCAGGCGAUCUAUCCAUGAGCAGGUUGAAGGUUGGGUAACACUAACUGGAGGACCGAACCCACUGUCGUUGAAAAGCCAGGGGAUGACUUGUGGAUAGGGGUGAAAGGCUAAUCAAGCCUGGUGAUAGCUGGUUCUCCCCGAAAGCUAUUUAGGUAGCGCCUCGGACGAAUACCAUAGGGGGUAGAGCACUGUUUCGGCUAGGGGGUCAUCCCGACUUACCAAACCGAUGCAAACUCCGAAUACCUAUGAGUACUAUCCGGGAGACAGACUGCGGGUGCUAACGUCCGUAGUCAAGAGGAAAACAAUCCAGACCGCCAGCUAAGGCCCCAAAAUCAUAGUUAAGUGGGAAACGAUGUGGGAAGGCAUAGACAGCUAGGAGGUUGGCUUAGAAGCAGCCACCCUUUAAAGAAAGCGUAAUAGCUCACUAGUCGAGUCGGCCUGCGCGGAAGAUGUAACGGGGCUAAAACUAUGUGCCGAAGCUGCGGAUGUAUACUUUGUAUACGUGGUAGGGGAGCGUUCUGUAAGCCGAUGAAGGUGUGUUGAGAAGCAUGCUGGAGGUAUCAGAAGUGCGAAUGCUGACGUGAGUAACGACAAAACGGGUGAAAAACCCGUUCGCCGAAAGACCAAGGGUUCCAGUCCAACGUUAAUCGGGGCUGGGUGAGUCGACCCCUAAGGCGAGGCCGAAAGGCGUAGUCGAUGGGAAAAUGGUUAAUAUUCCAUUACUUCUGUGUAAUGCGAUGAGAGGACGGAGAAGGCUAAAUCAGCCUGGCGUUGGUUGUCCAGGUGAAAGGAUGUAGGCAUGUAUCUUAGGCAAAUCCGGGGUACUCUAUGCUGAGAUCUGAUAGCAAGCUGUACUUGUACAGCGAAGUGGUUGAUGCCAUGCUUCCAGGAAAAGUCUCUAAGCUUCAGUUACACAGGAAUCGUACCCGAAACCGACACAGGUGGUCAGGUCGAGUAGACCAAGGCGCUUGAGAGAACUCUGCUGAAGGAACUAGGCAAAAUGGUACCGUAACUUCGGGAGAAGGUACGCUGUUGUUGGUGAUGGAACUCGCUUCCUGAGCUGACGACAGCCGCAGAAACCAGGCCGCUGCAACUGUUUAUUAAAAACAUAGCACUCUGCAAACACGAAAGUGGACGUAUAGGGUGUGAUGCCUGCCCGGUGCUGGAAGGUUAAUUGAUGGGGUUAGCGUAAGCGAAGCUCUUGAUCGAAGCCCCAGUAAACGGCGGCCGUAACUAUAACGGUCCUAAGGUAGCGAAAUUCCUUGUCGGGUAAGUUCCGACCUGCACGAAUGGCAUAAUGAUGGCGGCGCUGUCUCCAGCAGAGGCUCAGUGAAAUCGAAAUCGCUGUGAAGAUGCAGUGUACCCGCGGCUAGACGGAAAGACCCCGUGAACCUUUACUGCAGCUUGACACUGAACUUUGACCUUACUUGUGUAGGAUAGGUGGGAGGCUUUGAAGCUGGAACGCUAGUUCCAGUGGAGCCGUCCUUGAAAUACCACCCUGGUAAUGUUGAGGUUCUAACUCUGUCCCGUGAUCCGGGACGAGGACCGUGUCUGGUGGGUAGUUUGACUGGGGCGGUCUCCUCCUAAAGAGUAACGGAGGAGUACGAAGGUGCGCUCAGCGUGGUCGGAAAUCACGCGUAGAGUAUAAAGGCAAAAGCGCGCUUAACUGCGAGACCCACAAGUCGAGCAGGUACGAAAGUAGGUCUUAGUGAUCCGGUGGUUCUGUAUGGAAGGGCCAUCGCUCAACGGAUAAAAGGUACUCUGGGGAUAACAGGCUGAUACCGCCCAAGAGUUCAUAUCGACGGCGGUGUUUGGCACCUCGAUGUCGGCUCAUCUCAUCCUGGGGCUGAAGCAGGUCCCAAGGGUAUGGCUGUUCGCCAUUUAAAGAGGUACGCGAGCUGGGUUUAGAACGUCGUGAGACAGUUCGGUCCCUAUCUACCGUGGGCGCUGGAAAUUUGAGAGGAUCUGCUCCUAGUACGAGAGGACCAGAGUGGACGAACCUCUGGUGUACCGGUUGUGACGCCAGUCGCAUCGCCGGGUAGCUAUGUUCGGAAGGGAUAACCGCUGAAAGCAUCUAAGCGGGAAGCCUACCUCAAGAUAAGAUUUC